ACAUCUCAACUCCUCACGGUUUUCCUGUGAUGAGCUUGGAUUUUGGGGGUCUUGCUGGCCUGCAGGUCGGCUCCUCUCAAACAAAUCAGCUUGCCGGUGUUUGGCAGCAUCACGGGUGUGAUAACUAUCUACGCUUGUGGUUUUCUGCCAGGUAACUUCCAGCAAUGGGGGUUCACUGGAGCUCACAAAUGUCUCUCCUCAGUGAGGACGGCUCUUUGAAC
RNAcentral lists this unclassified non-coding RNA (221 nucleotides) under uncultured Tomentella. Its description in RNAcentral is "sequence contains ITS2". Lineage: Eukaryota; Fungi; Basidiomycota; Agaricomycetes; Thelephorales; Thelephoraceae. The record is from RNAcentral.